Molecule: non-coding RNA, 26 nt
Filed under: Cricetulus griseus (Chinese hamster)
Lineage: Eukaryota; Metazoa; Chordata; Mammalia; Rodentia; Cricetidae
Source: RNAcentral
UAUUCUUAAAGAACUAAGGCUGUGUG